Molecule: ribosomal RNA, 497 nt
Filed under: uncultured bacterium
Lineage: Bacteria
Description: partial 16S ribosomal RNA
Rfam family: Bacterial small subunit ribosomal RNA
Source: RNAcentral
GAUGAACGCUGGCGGCGUGCCUAAUACAUGCAAGUCGAGCGAACAGACGAGGAGCUUGCUCCUCUGACGUUAGCGGCGGACGGGUGAGUAACACGUGGAUAACCUACCUAUAAGACUGGGAUAACUUCGGGAAACCGGAGCUAAUACCGGAUAAUAUAUUGAACCGCAUGGUUCAAUAGUGAAAGACGGUUUUGCUGUCACUUAUAGAUGGAUCCGCGCCGCAUUAGCUAGUUGGUAAGGUAACGGCUUACCAAGGCAACGAUGCGUAGCCGACCUGAGAGGGUGAUCGGCCACCCUGGAACUGAGACACGGUACAGACUCCUACGGGAGGCAGCAGUAGGGAAUCUUCCGCAAUGGGCGAAAGCCUGACGGAGCAACGCCGCGUGAGUGAUGAAGGUCUUUGGAUCGUAAAACUCUGUUAUUAGGGAAGAACAAAUGUGUAAGUAACUAUGCACGUCUUGACGGUACCUAAUCAGAAAGCCACGGCUAACUACGUG